AAGGGCGAAGCCGAAAACCCAAUAGAGUAGGCA
Molecule: non-coding RNA, 33 nt
Filed under: unclassified sequences
Description: DUF805b RNA
Rfam family: DUF805b RNA
About the family: Bacteroidetes, Chlorobi (1 example), Proteobacteria. Lineage (Flavobacteria)
Source: RNAcentral